GCCUCAAUAUUUAAUUUGAGGUAUUACCUGCUCAAUGCGAAAGUAAAUAGCCGCAGUAUUCUGACUGUGCAAAGGUAGCAUAAUAAAUUGGCCUUUAAUUGAGGUCUUGAAUGAAUGGUUUGACAAGGGUUUAACUGUCUUUAUUUAAUGGAUUUUGAAUUUUAAUUGUGUGUUAAAAUGCGUACAUUUUAGAGAGGGACGAGAAGACCCUAUAGAUCUUUAUAAGUUUUCAAUAGAUUUUUUUUUUGGAAAUUUUUUUAUUUGGGGAAAAUCCAGAAACGUGAAAUUUCGGUUAAAUUUUAAAAUUUGAUAAUUGAUUUUUGAUCCACUGAAUGUGAAAGAAUGAGAAAGUUACCUUAGGGAUAACAGGACAAUGAUUUUUUAGAAGAUCUUAUUCUAAAAGGCGUUUGUUACCUCGAUGUUGAAUUAAGUUGUCUUAUUAAAGAAGAAGUUUUUGGAGUUGGUCUGUUCGACCAUUGAAAAC
RNAcentral lists this ribosomal RNA (484 nucleotides) under Physconelloides sp. JDW-2010. Its description in RNAcentral is "partial 16S ribosomal RNA". It matches the Rfam family "Bacterial large subunit ribosomal RNA", at positions 1833 to 2595 of the family's 2925-position model. The record is from RNAcentral. Lineage: Eukaryota; Metazoa; Arthropoda; Insecta; Psocodea; Philopteridae.